AGCAGGACUGGAGCCUGGAGAUAAAUGUCAUUGGGUGAGCAGGGUCAUGAUGCUCAAGAAACACCAUGAUCUUGCCCUUAUGCCCUACCCUCCUCACCAUCACUUGACCAAGAUGGCUUCUCCUCAUCAGAUAUGUGCCAUCUAACCUGGCUACAGUGGCUGUGACCCCGAGCGCCGUCAUGGUAGUGAGCACAUGCUCCACGGCCAACACGUCCUCAUCGUAGAUGGUGAGCACUAGCAGCGCGGCAAAGAGCGCUCCGGAGAAGAAGACCAGCUGGCGGGCCAGCAGUGCGCGCAGAGGAGCCGGGGGCUCGGCUGCAUGCAGGAAGGCGGCCGCGGGCCGGUAGGCGCGGCCGAGACGCGCACGCAGCUCGUGCGGCAGCUCGUUAAAGUGGCGCAGCUGCAGGCGGGCCAGGCGGGACCAGCGGCGCGCCCCGAAGGCGCCGGGCUCGCGCCGCAGCAGCUCCACGUGGCUGUAGAAAGCGUGCAGUACCUGCCAGGCCAGCACCAGGGGGCUCAGCGCCAAGUUCACGGCGGCCAGCAACAGCACCGUGCGCCGCCAGCGGGUGGCCAGGACGCCCCGGAAGUCGCUGCGCUUGUAGGCUUCGGGAAGCUCCCAGCCCCCGCGGAAGAGUGAGAAGGGACCGCGGAAGAGCAGCAAGUCCACGUUGAGCGCCAAGCCGCGGCUGAGGAAGGCGGCGCUGCCCCCCCAGGGCAGCGGGCAGCGGGCAGGCAGCAGACCCUUGUUGGCCAGCGCCACCUGGUAGUUGGUGUAGCGCAGGAUGCGGUGGUGGACGUCCAGUUCCGUCAGCGGCCGCGGCUGCACGCACAGCCCACCGCUCCUCUGCAGCUCCAGAAGGCGAGACUGCACCUCGGCCCAGGGUACCGAGCUGAGCUCCUCCUGCGGAGAGGGAACAAGCCUAGGGACCAGUAUCUCCCUCCACAGAGACGCAUAGCCUCCAUGACUCGCUGAGCUGCCUGCGAACUCCAGCCCUGGUGGCCUGCCUCCCACCAUUGGGUCGUGCCUUCUUCUAGACAUUCUGCUGACAGAAGCGCUUCUCCUUUCUUUCUGCCCCUUCUCAAUUAUUCUGCUCAUUACUUCCACUAGCCAUUAGUCAGUGAUAGGCUUCCUGCUGACACCUCUUAAGUAAACUUCAGGGACUGGGACCUGGCUUUCUUUGCUGACCCCCCUUAAGCCCCACAUAUAAAAGAAUGAGACGUCUCCUAUCU
This is a long non-coding RNA of Mastomys coucha (southern multimammate mouse), 1230 nucleotides long. RefSeq lists it as uncharacterized. Lineage: Eukaryota; Metazoa; Chordata; Mammalia; Rodentia; Muridae. The record is from RefSeq and is a predicted model, not a curated record. The transcript is spliced from 2 exons.